CCUAAAUUGAAAAGAUUUUUUCCUUCUCGUUGUAUUUUGACCCCCAAUUACGUUUCGCCACCAGUUAUUAGGUCACGAUUCAGUUAUGAGGUUGAUGAUGAAGGUGAGAGAUCAUAGAGCCAGAUCAGAUGCAAAAUCAGGGAAGUGACAUCUGAUGAUGCGGUUUUAGCUGUAAACCCUAGCAUUUCAUUUGGUGGAAAUGAUGUGAAGCAAGCGGAUAGGUCUUCAUUCUGUGUAGGAUAGAUUGGUUGAUAUAAUGGGAUGUCCAAAUCAUGGAAAUUUAUGUUUAAAUCAUUGCUGGUUGAAUUGAUGGAUGCGCCAGUGAUAUCGUUUGAGCAAGAUGAUAUAUUUUCGGGGCUAAAAUGUGCAGGAAAAACGUUUUGGUUGAAUAAAUUGGAUCCUUGAGCGAGGACUCUUUGUGCCAUAGUGGUUGCUUUCUUGAAUAUCUUGCAUAUUGCCCAUGCAUCCUGUCAUGAAUUAAGGAGAUAAAUAUUGAAAACUUUCCAUAUAUAUUAUACAUGAUUUGCAAGAAUAUGAGGAUCUUCUUACAUUUGCAGGAAUGUUUUUGACAUGAAACAGCUUCUUGGUUGGUGUCAUGGAAUCAGAAAUAGAAGGAAGGCGGAAUUCAUGCAUCAUCCAAUCAGUUUUAAUUCCUUUGGCAGCCUUUCCCCUGUAGAAGACUAGGGACUUCUUCAAACCGAUGCAUUUGGUUCCAUUAGAGGAGUAUAUAGGCCGGUCAGUACCUGUUGCCUUCCAGAAACCGGCUCCAGUCACACGGUUAGGCCUCGCACUGUUUCUGUAUUUACGGUCUCUUGGGCAGUAGAAAUACCAUUCUUUCUCUCCAUUAGAUGCCAAUUCUAGUGAAAUAAAAUUAUUUAGAGCCAAAAGCUAGUAAAUUAGUGAACUCUAUAUCUAGCUAUCAUGGAUCCUAUUAUAUAGGUGUAUAUAUAUUCUUACUUGGUAGAUCCCAUGGAUCAUAUUUGUAGAUAUCAGCUUGCUUAAUCAGCUCAAUUGAAAGAGGUCGUUGUUGAAUCUUCCUAAUCAGGUAGAAUCCAACGAGCUCUUCAUCUGUAGGGUGAAAUCUGAAUCCGGGAAGAAUGACAUCGUCCAUCUUAUCCACAUCUUUCUUCUUCUCAUGAUCCAUCUCUAACACUUAAUAGCAUCAAUUAAAGGAACAUAUAUAGGUUGCCUAUUCUAGGACAGAGGAUUUUUUAUGAGAGUUCACUUGGUUGUGUUUAUAUUCAAAUUGAAUGAUGUGGGGGAGAAACUAGAUCAGUCUCAACUGUUUGUAUAUAGAAUGUGAAUAUAGGGAGGAAUUCACAUUUAUUAUAUAUAUAGAGAGAAAGGUAUGUCAUAUGUGUGUGUAUCCUUGUGUUUAUAUUUUCUUCUUCUAAAUCAAGAGAAGGUGACAAAAGAGCAAUCUUAUAUAUGACAACACUAGUGGGUAGCCACUGUAUAAAUUAUUUCUU
Molecule: long non-coding RNA, 1469 nt
Organism: Impatiens glandulifera
Lineage: Eukaryota; Viridiplantae; Streptophyta; Magnoliopsida; Ericales; Balsaminaceae
Exons: 2
Source: RefSeq, a predicted model, not a curated record